UCUGUUUCACUAUUUAGUGGAACAUAUUGGAAAUCAAAUCUCCUAGGCAUUAUAUGUUGAAUCUCAGAUUCUUCUUUUUCAAUGUCUACUACAUUGUUUCCGUCGCUUUUUCUUCUCUCAUCACUCAUAUCGCUCGAACCUUCAGAAGAUCUAUUUAAUCUAGCUAUUUUCUGUAUUUCCUUUAGCAUUUCUGAAAACCCUAAUCUUAAACUAUCUUUUAUUUUCAGUUCAAUCUUUUCCUCUAGAUCCGAUCGAUAUUCUGUGUUGGAUUCUCUUAUCACGUUCUUAAUCAUAUUGGCAUAUUCCCUAGAAUUUUUCUCCGCUGGCGGAUGAGUUUUCGGAAUCAAUGGAGGUGGAAUAGAAAAAUUUUGGAAUUGCUGAGGAUUGGUGGUUUUUGGAAUUGCUCCCUUAGAUGUUGUUGUGGCUGUUUCGUUAUUCUGAGGUUUACUAUUUAAAGGCUUUUUAGCUGAAUGACCAACAAACAUCUUGAUCAUCAAUUCUACACAAAAACUAAACUCAAAAUUCUCAAAUCAAAUACUCAAUUAUGUAGAUUUAGGUUCAGUUAAAAAAAAUUAAAUUUUUAUAUUUGCAAUUGUGUGGUUAACAAAAAAAAUUAAAAUAUUUUGUACAUACAAUUAACACAAUAAACAAAAGAUUUACAUUAUGGAUUUCA
Long non-coding RNA from Calliphora vicina (urban bluebottle blowfly), 673 nucleotides. RefSeq lists it as uncharacterized. NCBI's taxonomy places the organism in Eukaryota, Metazoa, Arthropoda, Insecta, Diptera, Calliphoridae. The record is from RefSeq and is a predicted model, not a curated record. The transcript has 2 exons.